Suricata suricatta (meerkat) is the source of this 1400-nucleotide long non-coding RNA. RefSeq lists it as uncharacterized. The transcript is spliced from 6 exons. Lineage: Eukaryota; Metazoa; Chordata; Mammalia; Carnivora; Herpestidae. The record is from RefSeq and is a predicted model, not a curated record.
UGCCCGCUGCAGGAGGCUCCCACCGAGCCAUGGCCGGGUGCCGGCAGCACCCAGGAACGUUCUUGUGACUGUGCUGCCGCCGAUGCCCAGACACUGCGGCUGGGAGCCAGGCCGCCCCGGAAAAAGUUCCCGCAAUCAUGUAGCAGCAGCGUUUCAGGGAUUAUGGAAAAUGACAACACACGUCUGGCACCAGGCUUCCCCCUUAAUGGCCCUGUUCCGGCACCAGCGAUUGAGGUGGUUCUCCGGGGUCACCUGGGGCCCGGUGGCGUCACAGUCUGUGCCUGAUGGCCUUCCAGUAGUCACACCGCCUCUUCCGUGUGGCCCAAGGACCCCGGACCUCACUCUGCCCCUGGGGACUCGCCCUUCCCACGGAGCGCCUCCAGGCAUUAUGUUUGGGGCUUUAUCACUAUGAUCCUAAUUAAUCCGAAUGUCACCCGAGGAAGCACGCACCGUCACUGCCUUUACAGAUGAGGAGUCUGAGCCUUAGAGUAGCUUUUAAAAAGUCCUGAGUUUCGGGGUUCCUGCCAGUGUUGUUAAGUUGGAUGUCAGGCCCGGGGCAGCCCUCCGACUAUCGCAGCCAUAAUUCUGGAGCCCAGAGGGAGCAAAGCCAGGCCUCCCAGCCGGCAGCAAUUUAUUACAGGCGCCACAAGAAAACUACACAGGAACUGACCGUGCCCCAGUCCCUGCGCUGAGCCUUGGAGCGCCUGAGAUGACCAGGACGUGGUCUCCACCUUAAAGAACCCGCAGAGCAGAGAUGGAGGGGACGCUCCGUGCACGCCGCUUUAAGCAUAUGCGUGUGUAUGAGGGAGACAGAUGAGAGCCUUUCAGUGCACAUCCGGAGGGCACGCAUCGAAGAGAGGAGCGAUCAGCUGGGGGUGCUCACUGCUUAGUCACCAGGGGGAUAGUCACUCAGCAGCACGCUGGCCACCAGAGAAUUCUGGCCAUUCUAGUUAAACGUUUUCCCCCGCACGGUAGAUAUUUUUAAGGCAUACCCACCUGGCCUGUUGAUUUAAAGUAGGCUAUAAAAGAGUUUCUGAGGCUGAACUGCCCAUCACUGAGAGGCACGGAAAUCCCGCAGAGGAGGCUCAAGAUGGUCCUUCUCCGCAUCCACCUGAUCAGAAUUCUGCUUUGGCACAUCCAGCAUCUCAAAAUGAAUGUUGGAAAGAGGAGCCUUUAUUAAGAACUCUCGGGCUCAAUGGGAAGGAGACACACAGUCCCAUGAGGCGAUGGCCAAAGACCUCAAGAGCCAUUUCACCAAAGAGACGUAUGGACGGCAGGUCUGCACACGACGCGGUGCUCACCGCCACGAGCCGGGGGGGGACACGCAAAUCACACCCGGAACGAGAUCUCCCCACAGCCCUGUCAGCAUGGCCGAAAUAAAAACCAGCGACAACACCAAA